UACAGAGGGGGCAAGCGUUGUUCGGAAUUAUUGGGCGUAAAGGGUGCGUAGGCGGUUUGGUAAGUCUGAUGUGAAAUCUAUGGGCUCAACUCAUAGUCUGCAUCGGAAACUGCCGGGCUUGAGUAUGGGAGAGGUGAGUGGAAUUCCUGGUGUAGCGGUGAAAUGCGUAGAUAUCAGGAGGAACACCUGUGGCGAAAGCGGCUCACUGGACCAUAACUGACGCUGAUGCACGAAAGCUAGGGGAGCAAACAGGG
Molecule: ribosomal RNA, 254 nt
Filed under: uncultured bacterium
Lineage: Bacteria
Description: partial 16S ribosomal RNA
Rfam family: Bacterial small subunit ribosomal RNA
Source: RNAcentral